UCAUUACUCCCUCCGAUCCAUAUUACUUGUCGAAAUAUUACAUGUAUGCAGACGCUUUUUAAAUAUAGAUACAUCCAUAUUUAAGCAAAUUUGAGACAAGUAAUAUGGAUUGGAGGGAGUACAUG
Brachypodium distachyon (stiff brome) is the source of this 125-nucleotide non-coding RNA. The record is from Rfam. NCBI's taxonomy places the organism in Eukaryota, Viridiplantae, Streptophyta, Magnoliopsida, Poales, Poaceae.